CCUCACCUCCCAUUGUUUCUGUCUCUCUCUCUCCAUCUCCCUUCCCCCCACCACCAAGAGCACAGACCCCACAGUGAGAAUUCUAAGCUUCAUUCCACAUCCAGGACCAGCAAAGAUCCACCAUCAGGGUUUUAACAAAACAUUCACAUUUAUUCUCCUAACUGAGCACAACAGGAAAUGAAUGCUGGGUGAACGCAAAGCCAGCAUGGUGAAUGUGCCCUGCAGAUCACCUGGGUGUCACCUGACCAUGACAAAGCCCUUGAACAAAAGCUCAGUAGCACCAAGAUCUGUGUGCUCCUCUAUGUUUCCCAGCCUUGCUGGUUGACACCUACCUCAGCUGACUGGCUUCUGGCUAAUGAAAUAUGAACAGAGAUACAAGCCACCUGAGGCCUACCCUUCGAAACAUCCUCCAGCUCUUUCUUCCAUGGCAUCCUUAGAUGCCUCAUAUGCCACAUUUAUCAGGUAUGUCACAUGUAUCAGUUAGAAAAUGGAGAAGCUUCUUGACCCACAAUUAUCAGACUAUUACCUAAGCAAGGAAUAAAUGUUUUCAGUAACGUUAUGUCAGGAGCUAUCUGAUGUGGCAGUUAGCAUUGUUCUUCCUAAACAUUGUAAGCCCCUUAUAGCCCCAGCACUAGGCAUAGGGAACUUUGUUCAGAACAAGGAAAAAAAACUACUGCGUGAAAUAAAUCUCUCUUUUUCUUGUUCUAAUGAUUUCAUGUUUCAAGACAACCCUUGACAUGCAGGUCAGAAGAAAGGUUUUGGUAAAUUAGUCCUGGGAGAUGGGCAGGCCCUUCUGUCACUCACUGUCUCAGAAACAGUGUAAUAUCACCAGGAGUAAUGGAGAAAGGGAGUCUUUCCUGGGACAGACUCCAAAAAGCUCCCUAGAACACUGUGCUAUCAAAAGUGGUGAAUUAAGUAGCAACAAACUUGGGAAACAAUAUAAAGCCCACAUGUUUGUGCCAUUUGUGUGAGCAUGCACACACACACGCCCACCCUUUUUCCCAUGUGGAAUUAUCUUGCAAUAUGUGUCUAUCCCUGGGAAAUUAUCUAACAGAGAAAAUUGUCACCUCCAGUUAUUGUUGCUGUUAUAGGUCUUCAGUUCCCAUACUUCUGAAUGGUCCACGACCUAGGUUUUGAAGGAUGUAGAUGAUGACCUUUUUAACCGAUGACAUUUUUUCUUCUUCUAGAAAUCCUUUUCUGCUUUUCCAAAACUCUCCCUCCCUUCCUUCCAGGCUAUAGUCUAUAGUCUAGUCUCUCAAUUCAAAUUUCUAAUAUUUUUCUUGUCAUCUAGUCCUUUGCUCUUAAGAAAAGGGCUCAGUCGAUAUUUAAAAAAAAAAAACAAGACCCCUAUGGUUUCAAGAUACCCACUUUGAGAAAGCAGAUGAAUUUGAUUUGAGAAGACCCCAGUACGUAAGGCCUUCCUGGAGUCAUGCUUUCAGUGUUUGUUAUUAACUCAGUCACUGAGGCAGAAAAUCAAAAACAGAGCACAGCUCUAAACUCCAUUCUAUUUGGUUCCACAAACCAUCGUAUCAGAAGUCGUUAAAGCCCAGGGACUGCACUAAGAUAUACACAGAGGAAGUUGCUGCCAUACCCUCCUCAUCCCCACCAUCUUCUUCCAAAGUAUGCAGCCACCCCAAACAGACCCCCUAACCUCAGGUUAUUGCAAUGGCCUUCUUCUACAUCUUCCCCUCCAGUCCAUCCUAUUUACUGCUACCUGAGUACAUUCUUCAAACCCAGCACUCAGGUCAUAUCACUCCUUUGCUUAGAAGCUUUCCAAGAUUCCCCACUGCCUUAUGGAAAACCUUGACUGGCAUUCAAAGCCUCAAAAAUCUGCACCCAUUCUACCCUUCCAAACUCAUCUUUCUCUACUCCUCCUCCCAUACUUUGAAACUUCCCACAUCAGCCAUAUCCCAUACAUCCUGACCACCUCCUGAAAGGCCACCAUGGGUCUCUCUGAUAGAAAAAUUCUGUACAUCCUUCAAACUGUCACCCCACCUUGUAGACUUCUUGCUCCAUGUUGUCCCCGUGCAUAUAAGUCUCUCCCAGUUUAAAAUGCCAUAGCUCUUUGAACUUCUCAUUUAUAUUUAACAUGCUCAGCUGUGUAUUACAGUUAUUGCAGAGUUGUUUUUUUCUCCAUGAUUAGAGAGUGAGAUCUUUGCAAAUGUGGAUCCUGACUUAUUCGUGGUGAUGUCUUUCAUGAUACAUGCAUGUCUGUGCUUUUGUAGGGUAGUUGCUCAAUAAAUGUAUAUGCCAUUGAAUUGAAUACAGGGCACAAGUUAGCCAGCCUAACGUUAAAAUUUAACCAGGCUAUUAUCCAAAGUGGGAAUAAAGAAUGGACUGAACUUUCUUGAAAUUUGAUCAGAUAAAUCUUUAAAGAGUAGCCUUUCUUGGGAAAAUAAAGGGGAGGAAGGAGGGAUUCAAGUCAACAGAAAAAUAAGUGGUAGUCAUCUCAUUUUUAGAUCUCAGUCAGGAAUUUGUCCUUCUGCAAAAGAGUCUGGCACCACACCCACUGGAACCACAAAUUGCAAGGCUUAUGGGUCGGGAGGUUUGCACAGAAGAAAGAGAACACUCUCUGCAUUUACCAAUUGUUUUCCAACUCCUUCCGCUAAUCGGGAAUCUCUGCUAGAAAACGACACCGGGUGUGUGUUGCUGAGUUUCACCUGCUCUCAGGCCUGCUGGUGCCUCCCAGACCCUUUGAUCCUGGGCUCCUAUUGUCUCCUGAAACAAAUCCUUUCCAUUUUGUAUUUUCCCUCCUAGAUCACCUGAUACCUCCAAGCAACCAGGUGUUUCUUUCAGAAGCCAGAAGCUGAUAACCUGGACCCACUAAUCUAACCCCCAGUCCAUGUUCUUUGUAGUGGAAGACUGACAGCGGAGAUUCUUUCUCCUGGGAGGUGGGUGCCAACUCUCCCUUUCAAACAUGUUCACCAGCAAACUAAAGAGGAUGCCAGAAAUGUUUGGAGCUACAGAAGCACCAAUGGAAUGAGUAAAUAAUUUUAGAAGACAAUUAUUUCAAGAUGGCAUCUCAUUUAGAUGUACAAGUUUUGGGUAAAAAAAUAAAAUACAAUAUGUCCUAUUACUUUUUAGAUAUCACUUGAGUCAUUAUCUCUACAACUUGAUUAUAAAUCCCUUGGUACAAAAACUAUGUCUUAGAUGUAUUUGUGUCCCACACUAUAUUUAGCACUGAACUGAAAACAUUAUAAGCACAUAUACCUUGCUGAUUUGUUGUUUCUUUGUUUCUGGAUGAGGUAUUUCCUUGGAUUAUAUACCUCAUUGAUUUUUUUCCAUUAAUUGGAACAUCCAAUUCAAAAUAAGUGCCCAGUAUUUUAUUAGUCCUCACAGAAGCUGAGUGAAGAAGUAGAGAUGAUGGUCAUUCUCUAGAUAUUUUGGAGAGAGUUUGGGAUCAAGACCAAAGAUCUUGAGUGAUUUUCCAGGCAUCACCAAAUAAACCAGGGAUAGAGCCCCUCAGUUGGGAAAGAAAACUUCACAGGCACAGGGCAGGGAUCUGUUAUGUGUUAGGUAAAUCCACUGAACACAGCUAAGUGAAACAUUUGGUGGGGUUUCUGAAGGGAGAGCCUAAAUUCAUCUUGAUGCCAACUGGGUUCCCUACAUCUAAGGAGAAACAGGUAUAGCAGAAUCUCAUAACACUAUUUAAGGCCAUUCUUCUCGCUCAAAGGAACAAACCACAACCAACUCUUCCCAGAAUUAGCCCAUGAAGGGUACGGGUGUGUGCUGAGGCACGUGAGAGAGGAGGCCUGAUGUUGGGACUGUCCUCAUGACUUAUAUUUGACAUUCAGCCAAGCACCAAUUAACUUCCCCAUAUGUUUUCCAGAACACAGAGGGCCUUACUCUAGCAUAGGCAAUGCCUAUCUUCAAACACAUCCAAGGUAGAGAGACAUGUUAUGCCAACAGGCAAUGUCCUGGUAAAACACCUUAAACAAUGGAUGGGGGUCUGCCUUGGGACACUGUCCAUACUGAGGAAUAGAUACUGCAUUUGCACAUAGGCUUAGAAUUCCUCUAAAGCUCCGUGAUUCUGGUUAAACUAUAUGCAUAUCCCUUGUCUGGCUGGUCCUAUUGGUGCACGCCUAGGAUCAGAGGCAAUAAUUCUUCUAUGACUUUAAAUUCAUGAGUUAAUUCUAAGCAUCUUUACAAUUUGUGUUGCAAUCUACUUGAGUUAAUAUUGAAAAUAUUCGAAGGUUUUGUGUGUAGGCAAUAAAGUGGACUAGUAUGAUAGGAGGACAAAAGUCCUUCUUUACCAGUAAUCUAAAAGAGCUUGAUUUUUGCUUCCAGUCAAUCCAGUUAGGUGUAUAACAGCAGAUUUUCCUUAAACUUGGAAGAAGCAAAGAAUUUGGGGUCAGGAAACCUUAGUUAAGGUGCUUUAUUUAUUAAAUGUGUGACUCUGAGCAAAUGACUUAACCUCCCUGAGUCUCGGUUUCUUCAUUUGAAAAAUAAGAACCUAAUGCCUACUUCACAUGGGUAUAAGGAUUAAAUGUGGUAAUGUAUGUACAAGUGCUUUGAAAAUGGUAUAGAAGGAUACAAAUGAGCCUUCCCAUUGUUUUAUUCACAGUGCUCCUGCAUGACUGCAUCUACUUAACCCACUCUCCAAGAUCUAGAAUCAGAUUUCAACCAUAUGGAAUCAUCCACGGUGCAGCAGAUGGGUUUACAAGUCUCUUGGUCUCUUUGUGUAACUAACAGCCAAGAAGUCUGAAGCUUGCAUUGUUUACAUGGAAGAUGUUUCUUGCUCUUCUCUUGCCCAUUCCCACGCCAUACCAUCUGAACUUGCCACCUUUUUUUUUGUUUGUUCAGUGCAGUUCUUUAACUUUGUGGGGUCCUCUUCACAUGGACUCCAUUCCAC
Molecule: long non-coding RNA, 4852 nt
Filed under: Lynx pardinus (Iberian lynx)
Lineage: Eukaryota; Metazoa; Chordata; Mammalia; Carnivora; Felidae
Source: RNAcentral